UGCUAAAAACCCCGACUUCGGAAGGGGUGUAUUUAUAAGAUAAAAAACCAAUGCCCUUCGGGGCUCCUUGGUGAUUCAUGAUAACUUAACGAAUCGCAUGGCCUUGCGCCGGCGAUGGUUCAUUCAAAUUUCUGCCCUAUCAACUUUCGAUGGUAGGAUAGUGGCCUACCAUGGUAUCAACGGGAAACGGGGAAUUAGGGUUCUAUUCCGGAGAGGGAGCCUGAGAAACGGCUACCACAUCCAAGGAAGGCAGCAGGCGCGCAAAUUACCCAAUCCCGACACGGGGAGGUAGUGACAAUAAAUACUGAUACAGGGCUCUUUUGGGUCUUGUAAUUGGAAUGAGUACAAUUUAAAUCCCUUAACGAGGAACAAUUGGAGGGCAAGUCUGGUGGACACACGUCCCAGUGGCAAGACACUGCUGACGCCGGA
This 429-nucleotide ribosomal RNA is filed under the name Glyphium elatum. Its description in RNAcentral is "SSU rRNA". It matches the Rfam family "Eukaryotic small subunit ribosomal RNA", at positions 172 to 584 of the family's 1831-position model. Lineage: Eukaryota; Fungi; Ascomycota; Dothideomycetes; Patellariales. The record is from RNAcentral.